CUUGACAUUUUUAGGGGAUGAAAUGGUAUGCACUGCUUUAAAAUAUAUUUGUGUUCACAAACCAAAGUGCAUUUAGUGCAAAUCAAAAUAUUAGCAGAAAGAAACUUGUCUGUAUAAGGUGAGGCUUGAAGGUUACCCCAAAGACUUCCUCUUGUCUUCCACAGAAUAUGUAUACAAAAAAAUGGGGAGCAUCUGCUAAAUCAAUAUAAAGUAAAACAACAUAGCAUAUAACUGUGUGGAUAAA
Pelobates cultripes (western spadefoot toad) is the source of this 244-nucleotide non-coding RNA. The record is from the annotation of a GenBank genome assembly. Lineage: Eukaryota; Metazoa; Chordata; Amphibia; Anura; Pelobatidae.